Molecule: ribosomal RNA, 253 nt
Filed under: uncultured bacterium
Lineage: Bacteria
Description: partial 16S ribosomal RNA
Rfam family: Bacterial small subunit ribosomal RNA
Source: RNAcentral
UACGUAGGGUGCAAGCGUUGUCCGGAAUUAUUGGGCGUAAAGAGCUCGUAGGCGGUCUGUCACGUCGGCUGUGAAAUCCCGAGGCUCAACCUCGGGUCUGCAGUCGAUACGGGCAAACUAGAGUAUUGCAGGGGAGACUGGAAUUCCUGGUGUAGCGGUGAAAUGCGUAGAUAUCUGGAGGAACACCGGUGGCGAAGGCGGCAUCCUGGACCGACACUGACACUGAGGAGCGAAAGCCAGGGGAGCAAACGGG